AAUAGAUACCCUGGUAGUCCACGCCGUAAACGAUGAGUGCUAAGUGUUAGAGGGUUUCCGCCCUUUAGUGCUGCAGCUAACGCAUUAAGCACUCCGCCUGGGGAGUACGGUCGCAAGACUGAAACUCAAAGGAAUUGACGGGGGCCCGCACAAGCGGUGGAGCAUGUGGUUUAAUUCGAAGCAACGCGAAGAACCUUACCAGGUCUUGACAUCCCACUGACCGGUAUAGAGAUAUACCUUUCCCUUCGGGGACAGUGGUGACAGGUGGUGCAUGGUUGUCGUCAGCUCGUGUCGUGAGAUGUUGGGUUAAAUCCCGCAACGAGCGCAACCCUUGAUCUUAGUUGCCAGCAUUUAGUUGGGCACUCUAAGGUGACUGCCGGUGACAAACCGGAGGAAGGUGGGGAUGACGUCAAAUCAUCAUGCCCCUUAUGACCUGGGCUACACACGUGCUACAAUGGAUGGUACAAAGGGCUGCAAGACUGCGAAGUCAAGCCAAUCCCAUAAAACCAUUCUCAGUUCGGAUUGCAGG
This 529-nucleotide ribosomal RNA is filed under the name uncultured bacterium. RNAcentral's name for it is "bacterial SSU rRNA". It matches the Rfam family "Bacterial small subunit ribosomal RNA", at positions 777 to 1304 of the family's 1533-position model. The record is from RNAcentral.